GCCCUCGCUUCGGCAGCACAUAUACUAAUAUUGGGACGAUACAGAGAAGAUUAGCAUGGCCCCUGCGCAAAAGCAAAACAAAAUAAAAAAUGUGAAAUUGGACCACUGUCU
This is a small nuclear RNA of Sorex fumeus (smoky shrew), 111 nucleotides long. The record is from RefSeq and is a predicted model, not a curated record. NCBI's taxonomy places the organism in Eukaryota, Metazoa, Chordata, Mammalia, Eulipotyphla, Soricidae.